UUCAGAGCCUGCAAAGUGUUGUAGUGUAUGCAAAGAGUGGUGUCUCUCACAAAAAUAAAAAUCAGCUGCCUGCAGCUGGUCCAAGUCCGACCACCUCUGUGAUUUAAGGCAGCAGGAGUUUCCUUGCUCAAUCUCUGUCUGAAUGAAAAAAAAAAUCGCCUGUCAUUUUGGUGCCUGUUGGGUAAAAUUCUCCUCACCUGCUCAAAACCCAUCGUACUGCACUCUGCAGGCUCUCAGCAUCCCAGGGCCAUCCUCCCCCAGGCUCAGCCAGAAGGGACCAGUCUUUAGGAGCUCGUUUCGCAGCAGUCCCACCCUGUGGUGCACCAAGACCUGUCUGAGCCCCAGGCACUGUUAAAGGAGGGGGGGACACCGUGCAGGGUGACACAGACAUGGCUUAGUGCAUCUCCUACUGCCCAUUUCUUUGUUAGGAAUGGCAAAGCUUUUGUACUAAUGAAGUGCCACACACCAAACACACCAGGUAACUUGAAAUAUCGCAUGCUACAAAAAUAAUCCAACACUAAAAAAAAAUCUAUUUUCUUCCCUUAUCUUCAUAUUCUGUUUAAUAGCUCUGACUCUCUGAUACUGAUCUGGUUCCCUGCUUUCCUCUCUUCCAUCGCACCCCCGUGUGCUCCUGUGCACACACACACAUACAGGCACGCACUCUGCACCCCAUGGCACUGUCUUGGCCACGUUCCUCUUGUACUCAACCCCCUCGUCCCACCUACAUUUUUAAUCCACGAGACCCCGUUGCUGAGCUGUGGCGAUGUCACAGCAAUCCUUUGUGAGCAGAAGAGGAGCGUGCAGGUGGCUCACACAGCUGGGAAGGAGCCUGGGACGAGGCGGGUGGAAGAGCUCCUCCGGCGCUCCCGUUAUGCCCAGGACAUGUGAGGUCAUUUUCCUCUCCCUCACUCACAAACGAGCUGUCCCAGUUCCCUGGAUUUGGAGAUGUACACAUAGGCAACUUCCAUGUAGCACCAAGAUUUCUUCUAGGGACUAG
This is a long non-coding RNA of Anser brachyrhynchus (Pink-footed goose), 997 nucleotides long. The record is from Ensembl. Lineage: Eukaryota; Metazoa; Chordata; Aves; Anseriformes; Anatidae.